GAUGAACGCUGACAGAAUGCUUAACACAUGCAAGUCGAUGGGGAAGUGGUGCUUGCACCAUGGUAACCAUGGCGGACGGGUGAGUAACGCGUAAGGAACUUGCCUGCGGGACUGGGAUAACAGCAGGAAACUGCUGAUAAUACCGGAUAAGGUCAUUAAGCUGCAUAGCUUAGUGAUGAAAGGAGACGCCUGCGGAGAGCCUUGCGUCCUAUUAGCUAGUUGGAGGGGUAACGGCCCACCAAGGCGAAGAUAGGUAGCCGGCCUGAGAGGGUGGACGGCCACAAGGGGACUGAGAUACGGCCCUUACUCCUACGGGAGGCAGCAGUGGGGAAUAUUGGACAAUGGGGGCAACCCUGAUCCAGCAAUUCUGUGUGCACGAAGACGGUUUUCGGAUUGUAAAGUGCUUUCAGCAGGGAAGAAGUAAGUGACGGUACCUGCAGAAGAAGCGACGGCUAAAUACGUGCCAGCAGCCGCGGUAAUACGUAUGUCGCGAGCGUUAUCCGGAAUUAUUGGGCAUAAAGGGCAUCUAGGCGGCCUUUCAAGUCAGGGGUGAAAACCUGCGGCUCAACCGCAGGCCUGCCUUUGAAACUGAUAGGCUGGAGUACCGGAGAGGUGGACGGAACUGCACGAGUAGAGGUGAAAUUCGUAGGUAUGUGCAGGAAUGCCGAUGAUGAAGAUAGUUCACUGGACGGUAACUGACGCUGAAGUGCGAAAGCCGGGGGAGUAAACAGG
This 732-nucleotide ribosomal RNA is filed under the name uncultured Leptotrichia sp. RNAcentral's name for it is "bacterial SSU rRNA". It matches the Rfam family "Bacterial small subunit ribosomal RNA", at positions 28 to 776 of the family's 1533-position model. The record is from RNAcentral. Lineage: Bacteria; Fusobacteriati; Fusobacteriota; Fusobacteriia; Fusobacteriales; Leptotrichiaceae.